This is a long non-coding RNA of Felis catus (domestic cat), 579 nucleotides long. RefSeq lists it as uncharacterized. The record is from RefSeq and is a predicted model, not a curated record. Lineage: Eukaryota; Metazoa; Chordata; Mammalia; Carnivora; Felidae. The transcript is spliced from 3 exons.
CCUGACGCGGGGCUCGAACUCACGGACCGCGAGAUCGUGACCUGGCUGAAGUCGGACGCUUAACCGACUGCGCCACCCAGGCGCCCCAGACUUUGGGUUUUAUUCCAAGUAAUGUCGGAUACCCUUGGAAGAUUUUGAUCAGAAGAUAACAUGGUCUGGCUUCUAUCUUAAAAGGACCUUUCCGGCCACUGUUAAAAAUAUAUAGUGGAAGAGAAUGGAAGCAGGGAUUCAGCUUAUAAGGCUUUUGAAAUAAUCCUGGUGAGAGAUGAUGAUGGAUUGGCAGUGGAGAUGAUCAUCAACCUAGAAGAGAAACAGUGAAAGGAUGGAGGGAAAUCUGGGCACUGUUUGGGCUCUGUGUUCAGAGACAAGGUACUUCCUACAGUUGGGCUGCAGCAGUUUUUAGAAGAUGACUAGAGCUCUAACAAGAACACCGAGCUUUGUCAAAGACACCGUCUGGAAGAGAACAUUCUCGCUUUCAUGAAGAGCUCUGUUUCAGCACAAGAUUACAUAUACAUGCUAAAAGGUUCUAUCAGCUAGCCUGGGCAGGCAGAGUUUCUCUUGCUGUACUAAACUUACCUC